Molecule: ribosomal RNA, 864 nt
Filed under: uncultured archaeon
Lineage: Archaea
Description: bacterial SSU rRNA
Rfam family: Archaeal small subunit ribosomal RNA
Source: RNAcentral
AACCAGCACCUCAAGUGGUCAGGAUGAUUAUUGGGCCUAAAGCAUCCGUAGCCGGCUCUGUAAGUUUUCGGUUAAAUCUGUACGCUCAACGUACAGGCUGCUGGGAAUACUGCAGAGCUAGGGAGUGGGAGAGGUAGACGGUACUCGGGAGGAAGUGGUAAAAUGCUUUGAUCUCUCGAUGACCACCUGUGGCGAAGGCGGUCUACCAGAACACGUCCGACGGUGAGGGAUGAAAGCUGGGGGAGCAAACCGGAUUAGAUACCCGGGUAGUCCCAGCUGUAAACUAUGCAAACUCAGUGAUGCACUGGCUUGUGGCCAGUGCAGUGUUGCAGGGAAGCCGUUAAGUUUGCCGCCUGGGAAGUACGUACGCAAGUAUGAAACUUAAAGGAAUUGGCGGGGGAGCACCACAAGGGGUGAAGCCUGCGGUUCAAUUGGAGUCAACGCCAGAAAUCUUACCCGGAGAGACAGCAGAAUGAAGGUCAAGCUGAAGACUUUACCAGACAAGCUGAGAGGUGGUGCAUGGCCGUCGCCAGCUCGUGCCGUGAGAUGUCCUGUUAAGUCAGGUAACGAGCGAGAUCCCUGCCUCUAGUUACCACCAUUACUCUCAGGAGUAGUGGGGCGAAUUAGCGGGACCGCCGCAGUUAAUGCGGAGGAAGGAAGGGGCCACGGCAGGUCAGUAUGCCCCGAAACUCUGGGGCCACACGCGGGCUGCAAUGGUAACGACAAUGUGUUCCGAAUCCGAAAGGAAGAGGUAAUCCUCAAACGUUACCACAGUUAUGACUGAGGGCUGCAACUCGCCCUCACGAAUAUGGAAUCCCUAGUAACUGCGUGUCAUUAUCGCGCGGUGAAUACGUCCCUGCUCCU